AUGACUACACUGCUAAUAGCACCCAGGGAACGGCGGAGGAAGCAACCCCGCCCCGGGCUCGCCAUGGGGCUCCACCAGCGGGACGACGCCGGGGGAAGCAGCGACAAGGGGAAGGCCGCGCUCUGCGAUGACGGCGCGGAGCCGGGGGCGCCCGCGCACGCGACCGGCCGCGUGCCGCCGUGGACGGAGCAGCUGACGCUGCGCGGCCUGGUGGUGAGCGUGGCCGUCGGCACCAUGUACAGCGUCAUCGUGAUGAAGCUCAACCUCACCACGGGCCUCAACCCCACCCUCAACGUCUCCGCCGCGCUCAUCUCCUUCGUCAUGCUCCGGGGCUGGACGCAGGCGCUGGCCCGCCUGGGCCGCGUCGUCCGCCCGCUCACCCGCCAGGAGAACACCGUCGUGCAGACCUGCGCCGUCGCCUGCUACAGCAUCGGCGCCGCCGGUGGGUUCGGGUCCUACCUGCUCGGGCUCAACAAGAAGACCUACGAGAUGGCCGGGGUGGACAUGGAAGGCAACGUGGGCACCAAGGAGCCCGGCGUUGGGUGGAUGAUGGGCUUCCUCUUCGCCGUCGCCUUCGUCGGGAUUCUCGCGCUUGUCCCUCUCAGGAAGAUUUUGGUGAUCGACUACAAAUUAACUUACCCAAGCGGAACUGCAACUGCCGUGCUUAUAAAUGGAUUUCAUGCGUCCAAGGGAGAUGAUGUGGCAAAGAUGCAAGUGAAUGGAUUCACAAAAUACUUUGCAAUUAGCUUCUUCUGGAGCUUCUUCCAGUGGUUUUAUUCUGGUGGAGAUCAUUGUGGCUUUUCGCAAUUCCCCACUCUUGGACUACGAGCUUGGAAACAUUCGUUCUUCUUUGAUUUCAAUCUCACAUAUGUUGGGGCAGGGAUGAUUUGCCCCCACCUUGUGAAUAUAUCUCUCCUUCUUGGCUCUAUUCUCUCCUGGGGCGUAAUGUGGCCACUGAUUGCUGAUUUGAAAGGGAACUGGUAUCCGGCAGAAUUACCAGAAAGCAGCAUGAGAAGUCUGCAAGGUUACAAGGCCUUCAUUUGCAUAGCUCUCAUCCUAGGAGACGGCAUAUACAAUUUUACAAAGAUUAUUCUUAAGACCGUCAUGAGUAUGCUUGACAAAUCAAAACAGAAAAACGCAAAGAAUGGGGAAGAUACUCUGUCACUCGUUGAACAACAUCGCAAUGAAGUGUUUAUAAGAGACAGUCUCCCUAACUGGCUAGCCUUUUUGGGUUACUUUGCAUUAUCGGUCGUUGCUGUAAUCACUAUUCCCAGGAUGUUCCCUGAGUUGAAGUGGUACUAUGCUGUUGUAGCAUACCUAUUGGCUCCUGCUCUGGGUUUCUCCAAUGCCUAUGGAUCCGGUCUUACCGACAUCAACAUGGCCUUCAACUAUGGAAAAGUUGCCCUCCUCAUUCUUGCGGCCGCAGCUGGGAAAGAACAUGGCGUGGUUGCUGGGAUGGUAGGCUGUGGCAUGGUGAAGUGUAUGACGUCGAUAUCUGCUGAUCUGAUGCAGGACUUCAAAACUGGGCAUCUUACAUUAACAUCACCUAGAUCAAUGCUUAUCGCCCAGAUCAUCGGCACCGCCAUUGGUUGUGUCAUCUCACCGCUGACAUUCUAUGUGUUCUACAAUGCCUUUGACAUAGGCAACCAGGACAGCCCCUGGAAGGCGCCGUAUGCUCUGAUAUACCGAAACAUCGCGAUUCUUGGUGUGGAGGGCUUCUCUGCUCUGCCCAUGCAUUGCUUGCAGCUCUGCUGUGGAUUCUUUGCCUUUGCACUGGUGGCCAACCUGAUGAGGGAUUUCCUUCCACAGAAGUAUGGCAAAUGGGUCCCCUUGCCCAUGGCAAUGGGGUUCCCCUUCCUUGUCGGCGCGAGCUUCGCCAUCGACAUGUGUGCCGGGAGCUUGAUAGUCUACAUCUGGCACAAGAUUGACAGGAGCAAAGCAGCACAUAUGGUGCCAGCAGUUGCCUCCGGUUUUAUAUGUGGGGAUGGACUUUGGAUCUUCCCAGCUUCCUUGCUUGCGUUGGCCAAGAUCACCCCACCAAUGUGCAUGGCAUUUGCUUCUACACACUAG
This 2070-nucleotide ribosomal RNA is filed under the name Triticum aestivum (bread wheat). RNAcentral describes it as "partial small subunit ribosomal RNA". The record is from RNAcentral. Lineage: Eukaryota; Viridiplantae; Streptophyta; Magnoliopsida; Poales; Poaceae.